UGCGUAGGCGGCUUUGUGUGUCAGAGGUGAAAGCCCACGGCUCAACCGUGGAAUUGCCUUUGAAACUGCAAGGCUUGAGUCCGAGAGAGGAAGACGGAAUUCCUGGUGUAACGGUGAAAUGUGCAGAUAUCAGGAAGAACACCGGUGGCGAAGGCGGUCUUCUGGCUCGGUACUGACGCUGAGGCACGAAAGCUAGGGUAUCGAACG
RNAcentral lists this ribosomal RNA (207 nucleotides) under uncultured bacterium. RNAcentral's name for it is "partial 16S ribosomal RNA". It matches the Rfam family "Bacterial small subunit ribosomal RNA", at positions 568 to 774 of the family's 1533-position model. The record is from RNAcentral.